This is a long non-coding RNA of Cotesia glomerata, 1437 nucleotides long. RefSeq lists it as uncharacterized. The transcript has 6 exons. NCBI's taxonomy places the organism in Eukaryota, Metazoa, Arthropoda, Insecta, Hymenoptera, Braconidae. The record is from RefSeq and is a predicted model, not a curated record.
AUUGGAAUACCUUCUUAUAUAUUAUCUUACUACAAGUUAUCGGAAAUGUACGGCCGCAUUUUGAAGGAAAGUUAUAGGAAAGUCUUUCCCUUCAAAAUGUUACGGUUAAAUUGUCAUCAACUUUAAAUAGAAAAUUGCGAUCAACUUAACCACAACAAUUGUUAGGUAAAAAUUUUCUAGUAAGUUGUAUAUAAGUAAUUUCACCAAAAAUUAGGUUAGAAUAUACGCAAAUUAAGUGAUGAUAAAUUAUGGUUGCAUCUCUCAUUCACUACCAUUGAGGUUUAUUAGUUGGACAUUGUUAGUUACAAAGUAUUGAACAAGCAUUUGUGUUAGGAAGUGACUUAAUAACAAAAUCAAAAUGAAGUUUACCUACAUAAAUUAUAAGCACUGUGUUCAUGUAUACGUUACCUAUAUGGGCAGGUAGACAGGGGCUGACUGCCAGGUAGAUAUGUAAUGUCAGUGGCAGAAAUAUAUGAUCAUGACCAAAGAUUUUAAUUAAAAAUUAAAUUAAAAAAAAAAACGCUAUUUUGUAAGUUUCAAGAUAGGAUCAACACUGCAUCAAUUUAAAGCUAAGCCUUAUUUAGUCUCUGAUUUUGAGCGAUCAAUUGGGUUAUAUGAUGCAUUUGUCUACCAUUAUAAGAAUUUCAACUCGAGCACGACAGCUCGUUGUAAGAAUGUGUAAUUAUAAAUGUACAAGUAUAGGUACUAAAAAUGUAUGAGACGUAACCGUCAGAAAUACAGUUUUGACAUUAUUUUGUCAUGAAAUUACAAAGAAUACAAGUUACAGAAUACAUUUAACAUAUAACAACUUUUCUUUCUAGAAACUUUAACAGAGUACCUAUGGAGGACAGAAUGUAUAUCUUCUUUGAGUUUGCAGAUGAUUGCAUUCAUAACAUAAACCUGUUUGCUGGAUUCCCCUUCUCUGCAUAAGCUUAUUUAUUUUACUUUCUUAAUUACCUAUGUUGUUCAUAAUUUGUUUUCUCGGUUGGUUUUUAUUUGCUGAAAAUUUCUUACAAACAUUUGUUCUCCAUGUGAUUUCGAACUGGAUUGGGCAUCGAACUGAGGGUGAUGAAAAGUUUCCGCUGCAUUCCAGGCGCCUUACUUAUGAUUUAUGUAAAGCUUUAUUGGAAAUGUAUCCCAACAGCACUGAGACUGAUGUAAAGAAUACUAUACAAGAAGCAUUGAAGGCUGGGAAUUCCCGCAUUUAUCAACGCUGCAAAAAUAAGAAACAAUCUGAAGGACCAGCAGCCAAGAAAAGAAGAACAAGUGUUUCUAUUUUAAAUAGUACUUGGAUUCCAAUAGACGAGAGCUCAGAUGAAGAAAAUACUAAUAAAAGUACAAAGGAAAAGGCUGAUAGUGCAGAUGAGAUUGCAUAAUUUUAUUUAUUUAUUUAAUAGGAAAAUGAAAAUUUGGCAAUAAUAUAUAAUAAUAAUAAUA